UAAGACAGAGGGUGCAAGCGUUAUUCGGAAUUAUUGGGCGUAAAGGGCGCGUAGGCGGCUCGGUAAGUCGGAUGUGAAAUCCCAGAGCUUAACUUUGGAAGUGCAUCCGAAACUGCUGAACUAGAGUCUCGGAGAGGGUGGUAGAAUUCCCAGUGUAGAGGUGAAAUUCGUAGAUAUUGGGAGGAAUACCGGUGGCGAAGGCGACCACCUGGACGAAGACUGACGCUGAGGCGCGAGAGCGUGGGGAGCAAACAGGAUUAGAUACCCUGGUAGUCCACGCUGUAAACGAUGGAUACUAGGUGUUGUGGGUAUUGACCCCUACAGUGCCGAAGCUAACGCAUUAAGUAUCCCGCCUGGGAAGUACGGCCGCAAGGCUA
Molecule: ribosomal RNA, 377 nt
Filed under: uncultured bacterium
Lineage: Bacteria
Description: bacterial SSU rRNA
Rfam family: Bacterial small subunit ribosomal RNA
Source: RNAcentral